Molecule: ribosomal RNA, 282 nt
Filed under: Aspergillus sydowii
Lineage: Eukaryota; Fungi; Ascomycota; Eurotiomycetes; Eurotiales; Aspergillaceae
Description: partial 28S ribosomal RNA
Rfam family: Eukaryotic large subunit ribosomal RNA
Source: RNAcentral
GAGUGAUCGAAAGAUGAAAAGCACUUUGAAAAGAGAGUUAAACACGCACGUGAAAUUGUUGAAAGGGAAGCGCUUGCAACCAGACUCGGCCUCGGGGUUCAGCCAGCAUUCGUGCUGGUGUACUUCCCCGGGGCCGGGCCAGCGUCGGUUUGGGCGGCCGGUCAAAGGCCCCAGGAAUGUAUCGUCCUCCGGGACGUCUUAUAGCCUGGGGUGCAAUGCGGCCAGCCUGGACCGAGGAACGCGCUUCGGCACGGACGCUGGCGUAAUGGUCGCAAACGACCC